Molecule: ribosomal RNA, 200 nt
Filed under: uncultured bacterium
Lineage: Bacteria
Description: partial 16S ribosomal RNA
Rfam family: Bacterial small subunit ribosomal RNA
Source: RNAcentral
AUUGAACGCUGGCGGAAUGCUUUACACAUGCAAGUCGAACGGCAGCACGGGUGCUUGCACCUGGUGGCGAGUGGCGAACGGGUGGGUAAUACAUCGGAACGUACCCAGUUAUGGGGGAUAACUAACCGAAAGGUUAGCUAAUACCGCAUACGCCCUGAGGGGGAAAGCGGGGGACCGUAAGGCCUCGCGUAAUUGGAGCG